RNAcentral lists this ribosomal RNA (413 nucleotides) under uncultured bacterium. RNAcentral describes it as "bacterial SSU rRNA". It matches the Rfam family "Bacterial small subunit ribosomal RNA", at positions 87 to 518 of the family's 1533-position model. The record is from RNAcentral.
GUAAGUUAGUGGCGGACGGGUGAGUAACGGCGUGGGUAACCUGCCUCACAUUGGGGGAUAACGAUUGGAAACGAUCGCUAAUACCGCAUAAGACCACGGCACCGCAUGGUGCUGAGGUAAAAACUCCGGUGAUGUGAGAUGGACCCGCGUCUGAUUAGCCAGUUGGCGGGUAACGGCCACCAAGCUACGAUCAGUAGCCGACCUGAGAGGGUGAUCGGCCACAUUGGGACUGAGACACGGCCCAAACUCCUACGGGAGGCAGCAGUGGGGAAUAUUGCACAAUGGAGGAAACUCUGAUGCAGCGAACCGCCGCGUGAGUGAAGAAGUAUCUCGGUAUGUAAAGCUCUAUCAGCAGGAAAGAAAAUGACGGUACCUGACUAAGAAGCCCCGGCUAACUACGUGCCAGCAGCAGC